This 403-nucleotide ribosomal RNA is filed under the name uncultured bacterium. Its description in RNAcentral is "partial 16S ribosomal RNA". It matches the Rfam family "Bacterial small subunit ribosomal RNA", at positions 30 to 526 of the family's 1533-position model. The record is from RNAcentral.
AUUGAACGCUGGCGGCAGGCCUAACACACGCAAGUCGAGCGAGCGGCGGACGGGUGAGUAAUGUAUGGGGACUGCCCGAUAGAGGGGGAGAACUACUGGAGACGGUAGCUAAUACCACAUACUAUCGGAUAACCCAGAUGUGAUUGGCUAGUAGGUGAGGUAAUGGCUCACCUAGGCGACGAUCCCUAGCUGGUCUGAGAGGAUGAUCAGCCACACUGGGACUGAGACACUGCCCAGACUCCUACGGAGGCAGCAGUGGGGAAUAUUGGACAAUGGGCGAAAGCCUGAUGCAGCCAUGCCGCGUGUAUGAAGAAGGCCUUAGGGUUGUAAAGUACUUUCAGUCGGGAGGCGUUACCGACAGAAGAAGCACCGGCUAACUCCGUGCCAGCAGCCGCGGUAAUUC